AAUAGAUACCCGGGUAGUCCACGCCGUAAACGAUGAGUGCUAAGUGUUAGAGGGUUUCCGCCCUUUAGUGCUGCAGCUAACGCAUUAAGCACUCCGCCUGGGGAGUACGGCCGCAAGGCUGAAACUCAAAGGAAUUGACGGGGGCCCGCACAAGCGGUGGAGCAUGUGGUUUAAUUCGAAGCAACGCGAAGAACCUUACCAGGUCUUGACAUCCUCUGACACUCCUAGAGAUAGGAUUUUCCCUUUCGGGGGACAGAGUGACAGGUGGUGCAUGGUUGUCGUCAGCUCGUGUCGUGAGAUGUUGGGUUAAGUCCCGCAACGAGCGCAACCCUUGAUCUUAGUUGCCAGCAUUCAGUUGGGCACUCUAAGGUGACUGCCGGUGACAAACCGGAGGAAGGUGGGGAUGACGUCAAAUCAUCAUGCCCCUUAUGACCUGGGCUACACACGUGCUACAAUGGAUGGUACAAAGGGCUGCAAGACCGCGAGGUUUAGCCAAUCCCAUAAAACCCAUUCUCAGUUCGGA
This 523-nucleotide ribosomal RNA is filed under the name uncultured bacterium. RNAcentral describes it as "bacterial SSU rRNA". It matches the Rfam family "Bacterial small subunit ribosomal RNA", at positions 777 to 1297 of the family's 1533-position model. The record is from RNAcentral.